AGACAACAGACAGAUACUGAAACUCACCACAAUACGUCUUUCAUCUGCAAUACGCAUUACAUUAAAAAAACAUCCAACAUGAGGAGUUUAUUUUUCAUUCUUAGCAUCUUCCUUAUUGCUUACGUUUGUGUUACAAAAGCUGAUUUUUUAGCCGAAGAGCAGUUUCCAAUGGAGGAUGUAGCAAGUUCAUCGACGGAGGUAGUGGAGCUAUUCAGUGGCGCGGGAGUCUCUCGUCAACGUAUCUGUACGGCAGCGCUGUGUCGCAGUGUGUGUCAGUCACUCGGAUUCCCGAUAUCCUUCUGUAACAUUCAACUAAUCUGUGUCUGCAGACGUUAAUAUAAUUUCAUCUAUUACAAUGUACUAGAAAUAUAUGAGCUCUCUAAUUUUAUUUUGUUAUCUUUGUACUUAAUGUAUUUUUAUUAAUUAAUAAAGCUAUGAUUAAGAGACUA
This is a long non-coding RNA of Leptidea sinapis, 449 nucleotides long. RefSeq lists it as uncharacterized. The transcript has 2 exons. The record is from RefSeq and is a predicted model, not a curated record. Lineage: Eukaryota; Metazoa; Arthropoda; Insecta; Lepidoptera; Pieridae.